GAUGAACGCUGGCGGCGUGCUUAACACAUGCAAGUCGAACGGAAAGGCGCCUGCUUGCAGGGGUACACGAGUGGCGAACGGGUGAGUAUCACGCGGGUGAACUGCCCUGCAAUUAGGGAUAUGACUGGGAAAAUGGGUAUCAUACCGGAUAGGACCACAUUAUGGAUGGUGUGGUGGAAAGUAUUUCGGUGUGGGAUCUGCUCGCGGCCUAUCAGCCUGUUGGUGGGGUAAUUGCGUACCAAGGCGUCGACGGGUAGCCGGCUUGGGAGGAUUCACGGCCAGAUUAGACCUGUGAGACGGCCCGGACUAGUGCGUGUGGCAGCAGUGGCGAAUGUCUCACAAUGCGCGCAAGCGUGAUGGAGCAACGCCUUGUGAUGGUUGACGUCCUUCAGGAGGUAAACACCUUUCUCUAGGGACGUAUCGUUUUUUUGACGGUACCUGGUGAGGAAGCACCGGCUAACUACGUG
This 467-nucleotide ribosomal RNA is filed under the name uncultured bacterium. Its description in RNAcentral is "partial 16S ribosomal RNA". It matches the Rfam family "Bacterial small subunit ribosomal RNA", at positions 28 to 507 of the family's 1533-position model. The record is from RNAcentral.